Oncorhynchus tshawytscha (Chinook salmon) is the source of this 1037-nucleotide long non-coding RNA. The record is from Ensembl. Lineage: Eukaryota; Metazoa; Chordata; Actinopteri; Salmoniformes; Salmonidae.
UCUUGAACUUCUUCCAUUUUCUAAUAAUUGCGCCAAGAGUUGUUGCCUUCUCACCAAGCUGCUUACCUAUUGUCCUGUAGCCCAUCCCAGCCUUGUGCAGGUCUACAAUUUUAUCCCUGAUGUCCUUACACAGCUCUCUGGUCUUGGCCAUUGUGGAGAGGUUGGAGUCUGUUUGAUUAAGUGUGUGGACAGGUGUCUUUUAUGCAGGUAACGAGUUCAAACAGGUGCAGUUAAUAAUGGUAAUGAGCGGAGAACAGGAGGGUUUCUUAUAGAAAAACUAGAGCCGGAAUUCUUACUGGUUGGUAGGUGAUCAAGUACUUAUGUCAUGCAAUAAAAUGCUAAUUAAUGAUUUAAAAAUUAUACAAUGUGAUUUUCUGGAUUUUUGUUUUAGAUUCCGUCUCUCACAGUUGAAGUGUACCUAUGAUAAAAAUUACAGACCUCUACAUGCUUUGUAAGUAGGAAGCACUGCCGAUUUUGCAGGUUAUCAAAUACUUGUUCUCCCCACUGUAUACCACCAGAAAGUUCUUUUUUGGGGGGUGGGGGGGGUUAGUCUGUGUCUUCAGAAGGUUCUUGGGUCUUUAGGCAGGUCUGGAUGGUCAAUAAAGAAGAUAACUGUCAAUAGCUUCGAGAGUGCAAUGUGAGGAAUCAUUUUGUCAAUAACCCAAUAUGCCAAAUGUGUCCUAAAGUCCCCCUCUUCCUCUUUGGUAUCUCAAACUCAGCAUCUUCUAAACAGGGGUUGGUUCUUUGCUGUGCCACAUUGAUUGCAGUUUGCCCAUGGCCUAUUGGAUCCAAGCCAUGAUGACUUUCACUUUGAAGAGCAUGUGCCCCAGUGGUCCAGUCCGGAAGAGCAACAGCCAAAGCAGAAGCGGCUGGGGCUAAACUAGCAGCUACAGUCUCCUGUAUGUCUUUCUGAACUCCCCUCACUAUUCUCCUCCUUUUAGUCCAGUAACUUGACAUGGUUAACGUACCUUUCACUUAAAGCACAAAGGUGUAGCACUUCUCUCAUCGUUUAAAAACAAGAAAUGGACAGUGACGAG